This is a long non-coding RNA of Nematostella vectensis (starlet sea anemone), 312 nucleotides long. RefSeq lists it as uncharacterized. The record is from RefSeq and is a predicted model, not a curated record. The transcript has 2 exons. NCBI's taxonomy places the organism in Eukaryota, Metazoa, Cnidaria, Anthozoa, Actiniaria, Edwardsiidae.
ACAAUCUGAGAAGUGUCAAGUGGUCAGUGGUCAAAGAGUUGAUAAUGCCGAGGGACGAGAUGGGGUUGUCUUAUCUUAGCAGUUAAUGCGCACUAGCUACACUUCUGACUCCUGACUCAAGUAUUUCUGUUUUCUGUGAAGGCUUAUCUGGCAUCCUACCUGCUAGAGAUCCCGGUAGGGCCAGGCACGGAACCUGCUUGUACUCAUCCCUGAGGAUUUGAAGGGCGCUGGACUGAAGGAUGGCAAAGUCUCCAUAAUCCAGAAAACGAACGCAGUACUGAGAGAAAAACAAAUAUAAUUGUCAAAUGUCAA